RNAcentral lists this ribosomal RNA (506 nucleotides) under uncultured bacterium. RNAcentral describes it as "partial 16S ribosomal RNA". It matches the Rfam family "Bacterial small subunit ribosomal RNA", at positions 29 to 523 of the family's 1533-position model. The record is from RNAcentral.
AGUGAACGCUGGCGGUAGGCCUAACACAUGCAAGUCGAACGGCAGCACAGAGGAGCUUGCUCCUUGGGUGGCGAGUGGCGGACGGGUGAGGAAUACAUCGGAAUCUACUCUGUCGUGGGGGAUAACGUAGGGAAACUUACGCUAAUACCGCAUACGACCUACGGGUGAAAGCAGGGGACCUUCGGGCCUUGCGCGAUUGAAUGAGCCGAUGUCGGAUUAGCUAGUUGGCGGGGUAAAGGCCCACCAAGGCGACGAUCCGUAGCUGGUCUGAGAGGAUGAUCAGCCACACUGGAACUGAGACACGGUCCAGAUUCCUACGGGAGGCAGCAGUGGGGAAUAUUGGACAAUGGGCGCAAGCCUGAUCCAGCCAUACCGCGUGGGUGAAGAAGGCCUUCGGGUUGUAAAGUCCUUUUGUUGGGAAAGAAAUCCAUCUGGCUAAUACCCGGUUGGGAUGACGGUACCCAAAGAAUAAGCACCGGCUAACUUCGUGCCAGCCGCCGCCGUAA